GCUUGUUCUUGUUGACGGACUUGUUGCUCUAAAGGGUGCAACUGUCCAUGUUUUGCCCGUGAUAAGAGCUCCAAUAAAUCAUUUUGAGGCCCUUGAUGUGGCAUUUGACCAAACUUUGCUUGAAUGAGAUGCUCAAUAGAUGGUUCAGCAUGUCUUGGUGGAAGAUGUGGACGCUGUUGCAGUUCACUCAGAAUUUGUUGCUCUAUCAACACCUGCUCCAGAGCACUGCUAUGCCUAAUAGCAUCAAGACGUGAUUGUGUGUGACUUGGAUCAUGUACUUGUCUCUGCAAUAAUUGUUCAAGAACCAGCUGCCUAGCAUGAGACUCUUGUUCUUUCAUUAGCAUUUGCUGUUGAUGGAACUGUUGCUGUUGCUGCAGUUGUUGAAGCUGCAGCAACUGUCUCUGCUGUUGCAGCUGAAGCACCAUAAAGUGUUCUAGAUCCUGCCCAGCCUGACUCGCCAACUGUGGUUGGUGCAUUAAAU
RNAcentral lists this unclassified non-coding RNA (481 nucleotides) under Hevea brasiliensis (rubber tree). The record is from RNAcentral. Lineage: Eukaryota; Viridiplantae; Streptophyta; Magnoliopsida; Malpighiales; Euphorbiaceae.